RNAcentral lists this ribosomal RNA (468 nucleotides) under uncultured bacterium. RNAcentral's name for it is "partial 16S ribosomal RNA". It matches the Rfam family "Bacterial small subunit ribosomal RNA", at positions 28 to 507 of the family's 1533-position model. The record is from RNAcentral.
GACGAACGCUGGCGGCGUGCUUAACACAUGCAAGUCGAACGGAAAGGCCCUGCUUUUGUGGGGUGCUCGAGUGGCGAACGGGUGAGUAACACGUGAGUAACCUGCCCUUGACUUUGGGAUAACUUCAGGAAACUGGGGCUAAUACCGGAUAGGAGCUCCUGCUGCAUGGUGGGGGUUGGAAAGUUUCGGCGGUUGGGGAUGGACUCGCGGCUUAUCAGCUUGUUGGUGGGGUAGUGGCUUACCAAGGCUUUGACGGGUAGCCGGGCUGAGAGGGUGACCGGCCACAUUGGGAUUGAGAUACGGCCCAGACUCCUACGGGAGGCAGCAGUGGGGAAUAUUGCACAAUGGGCGGAAGCCUGAUGCAGCAACGCCGCGUGCGGGAUGACGGCCUUCGGGUUGUAAACCGCUUUCGCCUGUGACGAAGCGUGAGUGACGGUAAUGGGUAAAGAAGCACCGGCUAACUACGUG